CCCCGCUUAGCUCAACGGUAGAGCGUUCGGCUGUAGACCGAAAGGUUGCUGGUUCAAAUCCGGCAGCGGGGA
Molecule: transfer RNA, 72 nt
Filed under: Candidatus Woesearchaeota archaeon
Lineage: Archaea; Nanobdellati; Candidatus Woesearchaeota
Description: tRNA-Tyr
Rfam family: tRNA
About the family: Transfer RNA (tRNA) molecules are approximately 80 nucleotides in length. Their secondary structure includes four short double-helical elements and three loops (D, anti-codon, and T loops).
Source: RNAcentral